RNAcentral lists this long non-coding RNA (218 nucleotides) under Bos taurus (domestic cattle). Its description in RNAcentral is "long non-coding RNA NONBTAT020305". Lineage: Eukaryota; Metazoa; Chordata; Mammalia; Artiodactyla; Bovidae. The record is from RNAcentral.
AUUAAUUAGACUGCCCUCUACAGUUGUAGUUAGUUCAGGCUUUUUCUACUUUUAAGUUAUGACAUAAACUGUGUUACUGCCUUGAGACUUUAAAUUAGCCUCUAAGUAUUUAGAAAAGCCAGUGCAUGUUUCAAAAGUUUCUGAAAGCUGUCAUUUUAAAAUUCUGUUUACCUCCUCCCAAAAUCCCUUGCCAAAGCCUGUUAUUGGCUGUCUAAAGC